Poecilia latipinna (sailfin molly) is the source of this 447-nucleotide long non-coding RNA. RefSeq lists it as uncharacterized. The transcript has 2 exons. Lineage: Eukaryota; Metazoa; Chordata; Actinopteri; Cyprinodontiformes; Poeciliidae. The record is from RefSeq and is a predicted model, not a curated record.
GCCUGUUAGCCUGUUAUGAAGUUAGCCUGUUAUGAGGUUAGCCUGUUAGCCUGUUAGCUUGUAAUGAGGUUCAUGUGCCUCUUUAGUCUAAGAUUCAGUGGAACCAGAAGGAAAAGGGCUAGUCGGUGGAUCUGCACAAUAACUGUGAACUCAACGCCGCCUGUAGCUUUUUGUUAGCAGAAAAAAUCUCACGGCUAAAACUGACAGAAACUGAGCCUAAAAUCAAAAUAUCUUCAGAUUAAUCUGAACAUUUAGUUCUGGGUUUUUAAUUUUUCUGUUGCUGUUUCCAAAAAAAGCUAUUCUAGAAUCUGUAUUUAAUAUCCCGAUGCCAAACCGUCUCAUGCCUUCUUAUAGAAAAGCCCAGAAAAAGACGGAGGCGAAGUUUAAUUUGUGAUUUGGCGACUGAUUCGCUCAACAUAUGCGACAGCAAAUUAGGGCCAUUUCUAA